AUCUGAUGGUGGGGACAGCUUGCACAAAGUGUCUUGAAUCUCUCCCAAUACUCAUACAAGCUCUCUCCACCAAGCUGCAUAAUCCAAGUGAUGUCUUUCCUGAUAGCU
This is a non-coding RNA of Vigna radiata var. radiata (mung bean), 108 nucleotides long. The record is from Rfam. Lineage: Eukaryota; Viridiplantae; Streptophyta; Magnoliopsida; Fabales; Fabaceae.